RNAcentral lists this ribosomal RNA (117 nucleotides) under Rhodococcus sp. A14. Its description in RNAcentral is "partial 16S ribosomal RNA". It matches the Rfam family "Bacterial small subunit ribosomal RNA", at positions 1428 to 1533 of the family's 1533-position model. Lineage: Bacteria; Bacillati; Actinomycetota; Actinomycetes; Mycobacteriales; Nocardiaceae. The record is from RNAcentral.
CGGUGGCCUAACCCCUUGUGGGAGGGAGCCGUCGAAGGUGGGAUCGGCGAUUGGGACGAAGUCGUAACAAGGUAGCCGUACCGGAAGGUGCGGCUGGAUCACCUCCUUUCUAAGGAG